UCAGACCCAUAAGUUAGUUUUGAGAGGUUUCUUCAGAUGAGAAAUAUGUACAAGUGAAACUGCAACUUUCUGUAUGGUAUGGUAUGUUAUGGUAUGGUGUGGGUGGUGAAAUCAGUACCAUUCCGCCAAGAUGGAAGACAAAGGCAAAGCAUAGCGCCGCUGGGAUGCCGACAAGGUAGUAUGCACUGAGAUUGACACAAGCUCCAAUCCUUUGCAGGCCACAGCCCCUAACGACACCUGGAAUAUCAAGUAUAUAUACCACACGCUGCAAUCAGUAUCUUGAGAGUAAUGUUCACCGAGAUGCUACAUAUCGCUCAUCAAUGAUGCUCAUCGAAAUGAUACGAGGCAAGAAGAUAGACUAGAGUAGAAAUUCAGGAAAUGGUCUGCAAGUACUUGGAACUUGUGUUAUUUGGUGCAUCAUCUAUAUUUACCUGAAAGAACACAUUGCAUAUCGUCGAAAAUGAUCGACACGGAAAGAAGCGGCAUCAUUCUUGCAAUGUACUCCACCACCUCCUUCUCAUUGCUGUAUGCAUACCCCCAUAGAUUGCGCACCGAGAUCAUAAUAAGUCCUAACGUCACACCUGUCAUGAGACCCAGAACCAUGGUCACACGAGUAGCCAGACGGGCAGCUUCAGGUCGCCCAGCACCAAGCUCGUUUGAAACACGGGUGCUACAAUGACAAGAUACACGGUUUAAUUGCCAAAGUGAUUGUGCGAUAAAGUUGUAGUGCAGCCAUGGCAAAAGGUUAUGAGGCUGAGUUGUUCAGUCGUACCUUAUGGCUGCCCCAAGCCCGAAGGGGAUCAUGAAUGUUAAUGAAGCCGUGUUUAAGCUGCAAGCAGAUCCACAUUUCCCAUCAGAACAGGGCAUACAGAAUGUGAAAUACUCCAUGAAAAAUGCAACUCACCAAAUGGACAACACCGAUGCCUCGAGCUUAGGAUUUGCGAGAAGUCCGGAGAGAAGUACCAGCAGCUCAAACGACCACCACUCUAAGCUGUGCACAUGUAGGAUCAGGUUCAGUCGAAGAUGGAACGCGGAAAAAAAUCCACCUCCAAAUCUGAGGGGCACAAACUUAAACUCACCAAACCAUCAGUGCAGAUGGCAGGGCAAGCUUCAUGAAGCUGACGAUGUCGUGAAACGCCUCCUUUGAGAGCCCUGUCCAGGUGCUCUUGCAGGAUGGAGAGACCCUGAUGUAGAGAGCCAAGAUUGACACAUUGGCCAGGUACGAGACAGCAUUGGCCAGGGCAGCGCCCUUGUUGCCCAGCCCAAGCUUGUACACCAGCAACCAGCACACAAGCACGUGGCUCAGCGCCGUCACGCCUGCGCUCGCCAUCACCGGGAGUACGAUGCUUUGUGUCUGGAGGAAUCGGACGUGGCACUGCAGCAGUCCGUAAGCGAACAGUGCCGGAAUCAUCCACCGGAUGUAGCUCCCUGCCCCCAUGGCAAUCUCUGGGUCCUGGCCGAAGAGCAGGAGGAUCUGCCCGGUGUACGCCCAGAGCACCGCAACCACAACACUCACCAGAGUGAGCACGAGGAUCGCCCUCUGCUUGUAGAUGCCGAGCUGAUGGUACCGUUUUGCCCCGAAGGCUUGACCACACAGUGUGUCCAAGCUGCUCGCCAUGCCAGCCUAAGAUGAUCAUCAACAGAUACAAAGAAAAAACCAUUCAGGUAAUCAGGUCGAUGUCAGUUGUUCAUCCAUGAGGAUCAAAACAUGUAGGAGAUGAAUUGACAUACCAUCAAGCUGAAGCCGGUGACAUUCGCAAAGGAGGUGGCGAUGGAGGCACUCGAGAGGGCGAGCUCGCCGAGAUGGCCGACAAACAUGACCGAUAUCAUCUGCACGACGUUCUGCAGCAGGCAUCCGGCGAUGAGGGGCCCGGCGAGGUAGAGCUGCUUCUUAACCUCAGUCACCACCAAGCUCUCCUUUGGCCCUCCUGUCUCCUCGGUGUCGCUUCUGCCCCCAACAAGGGGCUCCUCCAUGGCUGGCAACAUACUUGAAACUUGAAAGCUCUGGCUCUGAAGAUGGUGGGUGAGGUGAGGGCGUAUUUAUCACGUAUGUACCAAUAAUCAACCUCAUCAAUGCUGUAUAGGCCCGCCACUGGAGGAUUAAUUCAGUAAGGAAGCCACGAGGAAACAGAGGAACUCGCUUGGCAGCCAAGUUGAACUGAACGUGCCCCUGAACCAGUCAUUUUCAGCAUGCCUGGGUCAAGUGGAGUACAGAAUCUCAUGUGAUGUGAGACAAACGCGGCAGCUUGGCAGCCAAGUUCAAGAUAUCUGACAUAAUAAACUAUCUGACGAGCAAGAUUGAAUGGAACAGUUAACAGCACAUGCUCGAUUAUGGCCGGAGCCAGAGCCUAUUAUAGUCAAAAGUUGGAAAGCUACAGGCGUUGAUGAUUGCACUAUUAUAGUCAAAAGUUGGAAGCUCUCGUCGUCAUGUGUCAUAUCUGGCCCAUUCUUCCAAAAGAGUGAAGGAAAACAUGUCUUCCAAAUUUGUGUAGAAACUUCAUAGGGCUAUUUUUUUUUUUUUGUAGGGCUAUUUUUAGGAAGAAUGAAGUGCAAAAGAAAUCACUGCACCAAUGUAACGACAUAGAAAAAUGCACAAAAAGUACAACAAAUAGUCAUCUAAGAUAGGGAGCAAAUUUACAGAAAUCCAAAUCUGAAAUGCAAUGCAAGAGAAGAAGAAACAAAGAGUUGACAAAGAAUGUCAUAUAUAAAAUGCACAAGAAGUAGAACAAAUAAUGAUCUAAGAUAGGGAGCAAAUGUAGAGAAGUCCAAAUCUGAAACGUAAUGCAAGAGAAGAAGAAAUAAAGACCUGACAGAAUGGGCCAAAGGAACUUCUGAAGUCUAAAGUCCAGAUCUGAAAUCUGACGUGGUAAGUAUUUCUCCAUGCACCAUAAGAAAGUUGGAUCCAUGUCUCAAAUUUAUGAUCUGCUACACUUCCACAAGGCUUAACUGGAAUUUAGAAACUAAAUGGGAACGACCAAAACAGUUGAAUGUCAAUAUACAAAAGUAUGUGGCAGAAGCAAAGGCGAAAGUUCCUACUCUCAUUCUGAAUCAAUUGCAGUUUGUGUCUCUUGAGAAACAUGCAUUUUAACUGAUAAAAGCACACACCAGCAAGAAAAGUAUUAUCAUAACAAUAUUCAGCUGUUGAUCCCGCUUUCCACUGCAUCAACAACAAAUGAAAUCAGAAAAUAUACAUCAUUGUAGUGGAAAAAAAACACUGCGGUCUAGCAUCUCAAGGAAAAAGAAGCAACAUUUAAGGAUACAUGUAAAUAUGCUAGAGCAGAAAGAAUACAAGGAAUCAGUUGAUACACUUGAGGAAACAAAGGCUAUAAGGAUCAAAAUGUUGUCUAGCUUCAAGAUUGUAAGGCUAUUUACAGCCUACGUCACAUCAACAUGAUCUGUCCAGAUGUAAAGAGUCUGUCUUGAACAACAUUGUACCGCGUAUGCAGUUUAUAAUUCUUAUGGAAUUUAAAAAUUAAGUAAAUUUGAAUUAGCAAGCCAGGAUCAAAUUCCAAAAUUAACUACUCUAUCAACUAUACAAUUCAAGACUGGACUUUGUUUUCGUAAACAUAACCGUAAAGUAAGUCAUUCCUCUUCACUUUGUUUUCGUAGAAACUGGGAACUGCCAUUGCACUGUUUUUUUACUAACAUCAGUGCAUCUAUUCUUUUCACUGCACUCUUCCUAGAUGCCCACUCCCUGCAGAUUACCAUGUCCAUCGGUAGAAAGAAAUUAAUGUAACAUCAGAGAUCACAAAUAACAAGAGAAAAAUAGCAUGGGAGAAGAGAGGGAGAGCAAGAUCAUUGACCAGAGAGGGCAUACAUUCAGACUUGCAAUAUAUUUUGGGAUGCAGGGUGGCAAAUCAGGACAAGGUGGACAAGGUGCACCUGCAGAGGUCUCGCCUCGCAUCUGGUCAUCUCUGUUCUCUGGCCGUCAGCUCUCUCCCUGGAACUGGUCCAUCUCGAGCUAGGUGGCGGCAGUGUCAGAUUGAGAGAGAUGGCCGAGUGAGAAGAAGAGCUAGGGAUUUGGCAGGAUUUGGGUGAAUUGGGGAUUUUGACGGAGAACCGACGGCCAUUUUUGCGGAAAAAAAACAAAACAAUAACCUAAAGGGCCGCAUUGAAUAAAACGAGUCCCUCCUGUACGAUUUUUCCUAGCCGACAAAAUUCUGACAGUGUGUCCCACACUGAGUCAGCAAGCCAAGUAGGCCCAUUACGGCUGGAAACGGGGACUGACCCAUUUGCUCAUGAAACAAACCAAAGUGACCAUUUUUACACAUUUUGGGACGUGUGGCCAAUGUGCUCAUCCCGCGAGAGUUCAAUGAUGAAUGGUGCGUUUAUCUCACGGACUUUCCAGUAAACACCACAUUUUUGCUUUAUUGAUUUAUUCCCAUACCGUAUCAAGUGAGUGGCAUGCAUUUGCCUGUAAAAACAUCCAUCCCAUCUCAUGCCUUCGACAAAAACCACCAAAACAGAUCAUUUCGUCGGGUGAUGUUUCCAUAGAGGAAGCGCCAUGUUGGUGACAUGGAGACGAAGCCUUGACCAAUUCUAAAUUCUUUAACUCUAAAUUCUUAACGAGUUCCUUAUCUCCUUUGCCCAACCAGCAUCCUGGUCCUGGCCAAGAGCAAUUAUGCAUCAUGUUCCAUGUUCAUGUCGUCAUGUCUAGAGGCAGAGACGAACUGAAAACUCUGUCCGUUGCCUUGAGAGCCUAGGGAGGAGAAAUGGAAGAUGAUGAGCCACACGCUAUAAGAAUUCGAGACACCAAGAAGCCAACCGACGAAAUAAUGCGUAAUGCGUGGCAGAGGCUUUGGUUUGAUUUGCCUUACCUCUUUAUCCCAGUUGGUGCGCAUGGUAAUGCCCAGCAGCAGCAGCAUCUGUACCACUAUCCCGCAGAUUAUUCCGAACCACAGCCCCUGGAGUUCAUACCAUUACAUAUGUUUUGAGAGGUUUCUUCACAUGAGAAUGAAAUAGAGGUGAAACUGCAACUUUCUGUAUGCAUGGUAUGGGUGGUAAAAUCAGUACCAUGCCGCCAAGAUGGUAGACAAGGCAAAGCAUAGCGCCGCUGGAAUGCCGACAAGGUAGUAUGCACUGAGAUUGACACAAGCACCAACCCUUUGCAAGCC
Molecule: long non-coding RNA, 5114 nt
Filed under: Triticum aestivum (bread wheat)
Lineage: Eukaryota; Viridiplantae; Streptophyta; Magnoliopsida; Poales; Poaceae
Description: long non-coding RNA (TAES_LNC006094)
Source: RNAcentral